Molecule: long non-coding RNA, 357 nt
Filed under: Mytilus galloprovincialis (Mediterranean mussel)
Lineage: Eukaryota; Metazoa; Mollusca; Bivalvia; Mytilida; Mytilidae
Source: RNAcentral
CUUUUUUUUCAAAUUUCGUGCAGUUUUAUACCAAAAAUACCUAAAUAUUCUACAUAUUUUGAAAGUUACACUCAUGCCUAGGAACUAUUUUGUGUUAAAUAUGUACUACUUUUUGGUAUGUGCUUUCUGGGUGGGCCGGAAUUAGUGGUGUUACACCUAUAAAGCGCAGAAUAGGUAUGAGAAUGGAAAACUAGAUAAGGAAUGUCUGUAAGAAUGCAAACGAGAAAAAGUCCCAAAACUUUAGAUAACUUCCUCAAGCAAAAAGUUAAAAGUAAUUUCACUUACCGAACACUAAUCAAUGAAAAUAGAUAAAAUCACUUUGGUUCUAUCAUUUCAAAACGACCAUGUUCAUCUAGU